RNAcentral lists this ribosomal RNA (253 nucleotides) under uncultured bacterium. Its description in RNAcentral is "partial 16S ribosomal RNA". It matches the Rfam family "Bacterial small subunit ribosomal RNA", at positions 524 to 776 of the family's 1533-position model. The record is from RNAcentral.
UACGUAGGGAGCAAGCGUUGUCCGGAAUCAUUGGGCGUAAAGCGCGCGUAGGCGGCCCCGUAAGUCCGCUGUGAAAGUCAAAGGCUCAACCUUUGAAAGCCGGUGGAUACUGUGGGGCUAGAGUACGGAAGAGGCGAGUGGAAUUCCUGGUGUAGCGGUGGAAUGCGCAGAUAUCAGGAGGAACACCGGUGGCGAAGGCGGGUCUCUGGGCAGUAACUGACGCUGAGGAGCGAAAGCGUGGGGAGCGAACAGG